AUUGAACGCUGGCGGCAGGCCUAACACAUGCAAGUCGAACGGUAGCACAGAGAGCUUGCUCUCGGGUGACGAGUGGCGGACGGUUGAGUAAUGUCUGGGAAACUGCCCGAUGGAGGGGGAUAACUACUGGAAACGGUAGCUAAUACCGCAUAACGUCGCAAGACCAAAGUGGGGGACCUUCGGGCCUCACACCAUCGGAUGUGCCCAGAUGGGAUUAGCUAGUAGGUGGGGUAAUGGCUCACCUAGGCGACGAUCCCUCGCUGGUCUGAGAGGAUGACCAGCCACAGUGGAACUGAGACACGGUCCAGACUCCUACGGGAGGCAGCAGUGGGGAAUAUUGCGCAAUGGGCGCAAGCCUGAUACAGCCAUGCCGCGUGUAUGAAGAAGGCCUUCGGGUUGUAAAGUACUUUCAGCGGGGAGGAAGGCGGUGAAGUUAAUAACUUCACCGAUUGACGUUACCCGCAGAAGAAGCACCGGCUAACUCCGUGCCAGCCGCCGCCGUAA
RNAcentral lists this ribosomal RNA (504 nucleotides) under uncultured bacterium. RNAcentral describes it as "partial 16S ribosomal RNA". It matches the Rfam family "Bacterial small subunit ribosomal RNA", at positions 30 to 523 of the family's 1533-position model. The record is from RNAcentral.